ACACCCUCAAGCUCUGCUUGGUGUUGAGCGUCUGUCCUUGCCUUGUGCAAAGACUCGCUCUAAAUGUAUUGGCAGCGGCAUCGCCAGCUUCUUGCGCAGCACAUUGCGCUCUAAGAUUUUGGUGAGCUUGCAUCCAUUAAGAACCCCCCAA
RNAcentral lists this unclassified non-coding RNA (151 nucleotides) under Pleosporales sp. RNAcentral's name for it is "partial internal transcribed spacer 2". RNAcentral also lists the same sequence under 1 other name. Lineage: Eukaryota; Fungi; Ascomycota; Dothideomycetes; Pleosporales. The record is from RNAcentral.